This 333-nucleotide ribosomal RNA is filed under the name uncultured bacterium. RNAcentral describes it as "bacterial SSU rRNA". It matches the Rfam family "Bacterial small subunit ribosomal RNA", at positions 568 to 898 of the family's 1533-position model. The record is from RNAcentral.
CGUGUAGGCGGGAAGGUAAGUCAGAUGUGAAAUUCCAGGGCUCAACUCUGGCGCUGCAUCUGAAACUAUCUUUCUUGAGUGAUGGAGAGGAAAGUGGAAUUCCUAGUGUAGCGGUGAAAUGCGUAGAUAUUAGGAGGAACACCAGUGGCGAAGGCGACUUUCUGGACAUUAACUGACGCUGAGGCGCGAAAGCGUGGGGAGCAAACAGGAUUAGAUACCCUGGUAGUCCACGCUGUAAACGAUGGAUACUAGGUGUAGGGGGUAUCGACCCCCCCCUGUGCCGGAGUUAACACAAUAAGUAUCCCACCUGGGGAGUACGGCCGCAAGGUUGAA